GACAGGUGAGACCUGGAGACUUGGAACCGCCCCUGGUGGGCGGAGCUGGUCUGUGCUCCUUUCAUAAGCGCAGGUGUGGGCAAUUAGGUAUUCCUCAGCAAACCUGAAGCUGCAAGUGUGUGGUCCAAGUUGGGCAAGUUGGUGUUAACUUCUGUCUAUGAAAGUCUGAUAUGGGUCCUCCCCUAAACUUCUUUUAGAACGGUAGGUUACACAAAAAUGUACCACUUGAGCUCUGGCUGUUGGCAGAGGUUUAUAGUUAUGUGCACCCUUGUAGGUGGGAAACAUUGCUCCCGUGAGAACAGUACAGUGGACUUCAUCGCCACUGACCCACAGUUAUUUGGGUGUGAUACGAACUUGUGGACAGAGUACCGAGCUGCUGCUUUGCCCGGUGGAUUUCUGGUUGCGGGCAAAGGACCCAACACAUCAGUGUGUUUUAAUUUGUUUUAAACUGGUGUAAGUCGACAGACUGACUGUUGCGGCUGUCGAUUGUUUUGUUUUGUUUUUCUUUUCUUUUUUCUGUAUCAGUAGGCACCACAAAUAUUGAUUCUUUUAGUAUUUUUAACCCUUUUCUUAAAUGUGUAUAGAUAUAUUGUCGCGAACGGUGAAGGCGCUGCAGGGAGAACAAAUCCUUUUUUUUUCCCUCACCGCUUCUGCAUGCACAGCGGUGGGCCUGAGUGAAGACGGCACUGAAGCUUUUGUUUUUCUCUA
Long non-coding RNA from Oreochromis niloticus (Nile tilapia), 708 nucleotides. RefSeq lists it as uncharacterized. The transcript is spliced from 2 exons. NCBI's taxonomy places the organism in Eukaryota, Metazoa, Chordata, Actinopteri, Cichliformes, Cichlidae. The record is from RefSeq and is a predicted model, not a curated record.